CGUGUGGUUUAAUUCGAUGAUACGCGAAGAACCUCACCCAGGUUUGACAUGCAUGUGGUACCAAGGUGAAGCUGAGGGACCCUUCGGGAGCAUGCACAGGUGUUGCACGGCCGUCGUCAGCUCGUGCCGUGAGGUGUUGGGUUAAGUCCCGCAACGAGCGCAACCCUGUCGCCAGUUGUAUUUUUCUGGCGAGACUGCCGAGAAAACCUCGGAGGAAGGAGGGGACGAUGUCAGGUCAGCGUGGCCCUUACGCCUGGGGCUACACACACGCUACAAUGGGCAGUACAACGGGUCGCGAAGCCGCGAGGUGGAGCUAAUCCCAUCAAAGCUGUACCUCAGUUCGGAUUGCAGGCUGAAACCCGCCUGCAUGAAGCCGGAGUUGCUAGUAACCGCAGGUCAGCAUUACUGCGGUGAAUACGUUCCCGGGCCUU
This 431-nucleotide ribosomal RNA is filed under the name uncultured Chloroflexota bacterium. Its description in RNAcentral is "bacterial SSU rRNA". It matches the Rfam family "Bacterial small subunit ribosomal RNA", at positions 938 to 1382 of the family's 1533-position model. Lineage: Bacteria; Bacillati; Chloroflexota. The record is from RNAcentral.